GUCGAACGAGAAAGCCCUUCGGGGUUAGUAAAGUGGCGAACGGGUGAGUAACACGUGGGCAAUCUGCCCUUCGUUGGGGGACAACCGGGGGAAACUCCGGCUAAUACCCCGUAAGCUUGUCGGGUCACAUGGCCUGACAAGGAGAGGUAGCUUCGGCCAUCCGGCGAAGGAGGAGCCCGCGGUACAUUAGCUAGUUGGUGAGGUAACGGCCCACCAAGGCUACGAUGUAUAGCUGGUCUGAGAGGAUGAUCAGCCACACUGGGACUGAGACACGGCCCAGACUCCUACGGGAGGCAGCAGUCGGGAAUCUUGCACAAUGGGCGAAAGCCUGAUGCAGCAACACCGUGUGAGCGAUGAAGGCCUUAGGGUCGUAAAGCUCUGUUUGCGAGGACGAAGGGUGAAGGGUUAAUAGCCCUUAGCCUGACGGUACUCGUACAGAAAGCCCCGGCUAACUACGUGCCAGCAGCCGCGGUAAUACGUAGGGGGCGAGCGUUGUCCGGAAUUAUUGGGCGUAAAGAGCGUGUAGGCGGCUUGGUAAGUCUGCUGUGAAACCUUGGGGCUCAACCCCAAGCGUGCAGUGGAUACUGUCAAGCUAGAGGAUGGUAGAGGCCAGUGGAAUUCCCGGUGUAGCGGUGAAAUGCGCAGAUAUCGGGAGGAACACCAGUAGCGAAGGCGGCUGGCUGGGCCAUUCCUGACGCUGAGACGCGAAAGCUAGGGGAGCGAACAGGAUUAGAUACCCUGGUAGUCCUAGCCGUAAACGAUGAACACUAGGUGUGGGGGGAGUCGAAUCCCUCCGUGCCGAAGCCAACGCGUUAAGUGUUCCGCCUGGGGAGUACGGCCGCAAGGCUAAAACUCAAAAGAAUUGACGGGGGCCCGCACAAGCGGCGGAGCAUGUGGUUUAAUUCGAUGCAACGCGAAGAACCUUACCUGGGCUUGACAUGCAGCUGCAAGCGCACGGAAACGUGUGACCUUCGAGGGUGCUGCACAGUGCUGCAUGGCUGUCGUCAGCUCGUGUCGUGAGAUGUGGGUAAGUCCCGAACGAGCGCACCUUGUCGGGGGUGCAGCUUAAGUGGGACUCCAGCGAAACUGCGUAACAACGGAGAGUGGGACCACGUCAGUCUUCAUGCCCUUA
Molecule: ribosomal RNA, 1132 nt
Filed under: uncultured Actinomycetes bacterium
Lineage: Bacteria; Bacillati; Actinomycetota; Actinomycetes
Description: bacterial SSU rRNA
Rfam family: Bacterial small subunit ribosomal RNA
Source: RNAcentral